ACCGCUUCUCGGCCUUUUGGCUAAGAUCAAGUGUAGUAUCUGUUCUUAUCAGUUUAAAUCAGCCAGUGAUUACUAGCAGAAAGCUACAAGGCUAUCUGAAUUUGAAAACUGAUUUUUUUGAUCAUUUUUUUCCCAUUAUUAAAGUAACAGACAUGGAUCCCCA
Molecule: small nuclear RNA, 163 nt
Filed under: Cervus hanglu yarkandensis (Yarkand deer)
Lineage: Eukaryota; Metazoa; Chordata; Mammalia; Artiodactyla; Cervidae
Description: U2 spliceosomal RNA (ENSCHYG00000018960.1)
Rfam family: U2 spliceosomal RNA
About the family: U2 is a small nuclear RNA (snRNA) component of the spliceosome (involved in pre-mRNA splicing). Complementary binding between U2 snRNA (in an area lying towards the 5' end but 3' to hairpin I) and the branchpoint sequence (BPS) of the intron results the bulging out of an unpaired adenosine, on the BPS, which initiates a nucleophilic attack at the intronic 5' splice site, thus starting the first of two transesterification reactions that mediate splicing.
Source: Rfam by way of RNAcentral